Molecule: ribosomal RNA, 441 nt
Filed under: uncultured bacterium
Lineage: Bacteria
Description: partial 16S ribosomal RNA
Rfam family: Bacterial small subunit ribosomal RNA
Source: RNAcentral
CCUACGGGUGGCAGCAGUGGGGAAUAUUGGGCACUGGGCGCAAGCCUGACCCAGCAACGCCGCGUGAAGGAAGAAGGCUUUCGGGUUGUAAACUUCUUUUAAGAGGGAAGAGCAAAAGACGGUACCUCUUGAAUAAGCCACGGCUAACUACGUGCCAGCAGCCGCGGUCAUACGUAGGUGGCAAGCGUUGUCCGGAUUUCCUGGGUGUAAAGGGCGUGCAGCCGGGAAGACAAGUCAGAUGUGAAAUCCCGCGGCUCAACCGCGGAACUGCAUUUGGAACUGUUUUUCUUGAGUACCGGAGAGGUCAUCGGAAUUCCUUGUGUAGCGGUGAAUUGGGUAGGUAUACGGAGGAACACCAGUGGCGAAGGCGGAUUGCUGGACAGUAACUGACGCUGAGGCGCGAAAGCGUGGGAGCAAACAGGAUUAGAUACCCUUGUAGUC